GAUGAACGCUGGCGGCGUGCCUAAUACAUGCAAGUCGAGCGAACAGACGAGGAGCUUGCUCCUCUGACGUUAGCGGCGGACGGGUGAGUAACACGUGGAUAACCUACCUAUAAGACUGGGAUAACUUCGGGAAACCGGAGCUAAUACCGGAUAAUAUAUUGAACCGCAUGGUUCAAUAGUGAAAGACGGUUUUGCUGUCACUUAUAGAUGGAUCCGCGCCGCAUUAGCUAGUUGGUAAGGUAACGGCUUACCAAGGCAACGAUGCGUAGCCGACCUGAGAGGGUGUUCGGCCACACUGGAACUGAGACACGGUCCACACUCCUACGGGAGGCAGCAGUAGGGAAUCUUCCGCAAUGGGCGAAAGCCUGACGGAGCAACGCCGCGUGAGUGAUGAAGGUCUUCGGAUCGUAAAACUCUGUUAUUAGGGAAGAACAAAUGUGUAAGUAACUAUGCACGUCUUGACGGUACCUAAUCAGAAAGCCACGGCUAACUACGUG
RNAcentral lists this ribosomal RNA (497 nucleotides) under uncultured bacterium. Its description in RNAcentral is "partial 16S ribosomal RNA". It matches the Rfam family "Bacterial small subunit ribosomal RNA", at positions 28 to 507 of the family's 1533-position model. The record is from RNAcentral.